RNAcentral lists this ribosomal RNA (253 nucleotides) under uncultured bacterium. RNAcentral describes it as "partial 16S ribosomal RNA". It matches the Rfam family "Bacterial small subunit ribosomal RNA", at positions 524 to 776 of the family's 1533-position model. The record is from RNAcentral.
GACGUACCACCCGAACGUUAUUCGGAAUCACUGGGCUUAAAGAGUCCGUAGGCGGCCAAGAAAGUUGGGUGUGAAAUCCCUCAGCUCAACUGAGGAAUUGCGCUCAAAACUACUUGGCUCGAGAAAGACAGAGGUGAGCGGAACUGAUGGUGGAGCGGUGAAAUGCAUUGAUAUCAUCAGGAACACCGGUGGCGAAAGCGGCUCACUGGGUCUUUUCUGACGCUGAGGGACGAAAGCUAGGGGAGCGAACGGG